Molecule: transfer RNA, 73 nt
Filed under: Phycisphaerales bacterium
Lineage: Bacteria; Pseudomonadati; Planctomycetota; Phycisphaerae; Phycisphaerales
Description: tRNA-Ile
Rfam family: tRNA
About the family: Transfer RNA (tRNA) molecules are approximately 80 nucleotides in length. Their secondary structure includes four short double-helical elements and three loops (D, anti-codon, and T loops).
Source: RNAcentral
GGGCCCGUAGCUCAGCGGUUAGAGCUGUCGACUCAUAAUCGAUCGGUCGCAGGUUCGAUUCCUGCCGGGCCCA